UACGUAGGAGGCAAGCGUUAUCCGGAGUUACUGGGCGUAAAGCGCGUGUAGGCGGCUCGGUAAGUUACUUGUGAAAGCUCCUGGCUAAACUAGGAGAGGUUGAGUGAUACUGCCAGUCUUGAAUAGAGGAGAGGUUGACGGAAUUCCGCGUGUAGUGGUGAAAUGCGUAGAGAUGCGGAAGAACACCAGUGGCGAAGGCGGUCAACUGGCCUGAUAUUGACACUCAGACGCGAAGGCAUGGGUAGCGAACGGG
RNAcentral lists this ribosomal RNA (253 nucleotides) under uncultured bacterium. Its description in RNAcentral is "partial 16S ribosomal RNA". It matches the Rfam family "Bacterial small subunit ribosomal RNA", at positions 524 to 776 of the family's 1533-position model. The record is from RNAcentral.